Molecule: ribosomal RNA, 244 nt
Filed under: Staphylococcus sp. H10
Lineage: Bacteria; Bacillati; Bacillota; Bacilli; Caryophanales; Staphylococcaceae
Description: partial 16S ribosomal RNA
Rfam family: Bacterial small subunit ribosomal RNA
Source: RNAcentral
ACGGUCUUGCUGUCACUUAUANAUGGACCCGCGCCGUAUUAGCUAGUUGGUGAGGUAACGGCUCACCAAGGCANCGAUACAGUAGCCGACCUGAGAGGUGUGAUCGGCCACACUGGAACUGAGACACGGUACCAGACUCCUACGGGAGGCAGCAGUAGGGAAUCUUCCGCAAUGGGCGAAAGCCUGACGGAGCAACAGCCGCGUGAUGUGAUGAAGGUCUUCGGAGUCGUAAAGCUCUGUUNUU